RNAcentral lists this ribosomal RNA (1346 nucleotides) under Anoplostoma sp. NUS40. RNAcentral's name for it is "SSU rRNA". It matches the Rfam family "Eukaryotic small subunit ribosomal RNA", at positions 93 to 1491 of the family's 1831-position model. Lineage: Eukaryota; Metazoa; Nematoda; Enoplea; Enoplida; Anoplostomatidae. The record is from RNAcentral.
AUGGCUCAUUACAACAGCUUUAGUUUACAGGAUGAUGYYGYUUAAUGGAUAACUGUGGUAAUUCUAGAGCUAAUACAUGCACUUAUAUCCAACCCGCAAGGGAUGGAUGCAGUUAUUAGAAUAAAACCAAGCAGGCUUGCCUGCAACUUGGUGACUCUGAAUAACCCAGUGAUCGCACGGUCUUCGAACCGGCGACAUAUCCUUCAAAUGUCUGCCUUAUCAACUGUCGACUGUAGUUUAUGCGCCUACAGUGGUUGUAACGGGUAACGGAGAAUUAGGGUUCGACUCCGGAGAGGGAGCCUGAGAAACGGCUACCACAUCUAAGGAAGGCAGCAGGCACGCAAAUUACCCAUUCUUGGUACGAGGAGGUAGUGACGAAGAAUAACAGGACGGCCUCUUAUUGAGGCCCGUCACUGGAAUGAGAACAGUUUAAAUCCUUUAACGAGGAUCUAUUGGAGGGCAAGUCUGGUGCCAGCAGCCGCGGUAAUUCCAGCUCCAAUAGCGUAUAUUAAAGUUGUUGCGUUUAAAAAGCUCGUAGUUGAAUCUGCGUCCAUUGGUUGACGGUCCCCUAACGGGAGUACUGUUUUACCAGGACCAAAUAUCUGGUUUUCUUUUGAUGCUCUUCAUUGAGUGUCUUAAGUGACUGGAGAGUUUACUUUGAAAAAAUCAGAGUGCUCAAAGCAGGCUUUUAGCCUGAAUGGUGGUGCAUGGAAUAAUGGAAUAAGACUUCGGUUUUAUUUUCAUGGCUUUCGAAUCUCGAAGUAAUGAUUAAGAGGAACAAACGGGGGCAUUCGUAUUGCAGCGUUAGAGGUGAAAUUCUUGGAUCGUUGCAAGACGUCCUACAGCGAAAGCAUUUGCCAAGAAUGUUUUCAUUAAUCAAGAACGAAAGUUAGAGGUUCGAAGGCGAUCAGAUACCGCCCUAGUUCUAACUGUAAACGAUGCUAACCAGUGAUCUACAGGAGUUGAUCAAUGACUCUGCAGGCAGCUUUCGGGAAACCACAGUUUCUGAGCUCCGGGGGUAGUAUGGUUGCAAAUCUGAAACUUAAAAGAAUUGACGGAAGGGCACCACCAGGAGUGGAGCCUGCGGCUUAAUUUGACUCAACGCGGGGAAACUCACCCGGCCUAGACACUGAAAGGACUGACAGACUGAAAGCUCUUUCUCGAUUCGGUAAGUGGUGGUGCAUGGCCGUUCUUAGUUGGUGGAGUGAUUUGUCUGGUUAAUUCCGAUAACGAACGAGACUCUAGCCUAUUAAACUAGACUGAUAAUCAAUAGUUAUCAGAGCUUCUUAGAGGGACGAUGGGCGUUUAGCCCAACGAGAUUGAGCAAUAACAGGUCUGUGAUGCCC